Molecule: ribosomal RNA, 254 nt
Filed under: uncultured bacterium
Lineage: Bacteria
Description: partial 16S ribosomal RNA
Rfam family: Bacterial small subunit ribosomal RNA
Source: RNAcentral
UACGUAGGGUCCGAGCGUUGUCCGGAAUUAUUGGGCGUAAAGAGCUCGUAGGCUGUUCGAUAAGUCGGGUGUGAAACCUCCAGGCUCAACCUGGAGACGCCACCCGAUACUGUCAUGACUAGAGUCCGGUAGGGGAGCGUGGAAUUCCUGGUGUAGCGGUGAAAUGCGCAGAUAUCAGGAGGAACACCAGCGGCGAAGGCGGCGCUCUGGGCCGGUACUGACGCUGAGGAGCGAAAGCGUGGGGAGCGAACAGG